This 361-nucleotide small RNA is filed under the name Arabidopsis thaliana (thale cress). Its description in RNAcentral is "ATSL231990". The record is from RNAcentral. Lineage: Eukaryota; Viridiplantae; Streptophyta; Magnoliopsida; Brassicales; Brassicaceae.
UUGAGGUCAAGAGCAUUAGAUUCGAACUUCAACUGUCUUGAGAACUCUUUCUUUAUGUUGCUUAUGUCGCAAGCGACAUUGCUUUCGUCGUCAUCUUCCUCGAUUCUUGGAUUCUUCUUCUUAAUCAUCGUUGGCGCAGCAUCAUAUUCCGGUUUCCUCUUGUUAUUGACCAAACCAGAACCUGAUUUGUUACAAUUCAACACCAUUGGUAUGACAAAAUGUUCAUUCUCUACACAUUCAUCAUCUUCUCUCGUCAAAAGGAAGAUUAUUUGGCUCUUCUUUCCUUGAAAACCAUCCAAAUCUCCCGCCUCAAAUCGAUCUACGAGGAUGUUCAUGAACUGAGCAUCGGCUAAAUCAACUC